This 497-nucleotide ribosomal RNA is filed under the name uncultured bacterium. Its description in RNAcentral is "partial 16S ribosomal RNA". It matches the Rfam family "Bacterial small subunit ribosomal RNA", at positions 28 to 507 of the family's 1533-position model. The record is from RNAcentral.
GAUGAACGCUGGCGGCGUGCCUAAUACAUGCAAGUCGAGCGAACAGACGAGGAGCUUGCUCCUCUGACGUUAGCGGCGGACGGGUGAGUAACACGUGGAUAACCUACCUAUAAGACUGGGAUAACUUCGGGAAACCGGAGCUAAUACCGGAUAAUAUAUUGAACCGCAUGGUUCAAUAGUGAAAGACGGUUUUGCUGUCACUUAUAGAUGGAUCCGCGCCGCAUUAGCUAGUUGGUAAGGUAACGGCUUACCAAGGCAACGAUGCGUAGCCGACCUGAGAGGGUGAUCGGCCACACUGGAACUGAGCCACGGUCCAGACUCCUACGGGAGGCAGCAGUAGGGAAUCUUCCGCAAUGGGCGAAAGCCUAACGGAGCAACGCCGCGUGAGUGAUGAAGGUCUUCGGAUCGUAAAACUCUGUUAUUAGGGAAGAACAAAUGUGUAAGUAACUAUGCACGUCUUGACGGUACCUAAUCAGAAAGCCACGGCUAACUACGUG